This 235-nucleotide ribosomal RNA is filed under the name Clostridioides difficile. Its description in RNAcentral is "partial 16S ribosomal RNA". It matches the Rfam family "Bacterial small subunit ribosomal RNA", at positions 581 to 816 of the family's 1533-position model. Lineage: Bacteria; Bacillati; Bacillota; Clostridia; Peptostreptococcales; Peptostreptococcaceae. The record is from RNAcentral.
UUUCAAGUCAGGAGUGAAAGGCUACGGCUCAACCGUAGUAAGCUCUUGAAACUGGGAGACUUGAGUGCAGGAGAGGAGAGUGGAAUUCCUAGUGUAGCGGUGAAAUGCGUAGAUAUUAGGAGGAACACCAGUUGCGAAGGCGGCUCUCUGGACUGUAACUGACGCUGAGGCACGAAAGCGUGGGGAGCAAACAGGAUUAGAUACCCUGGUAGUCCACGCUGUAAACGAUGAGUAC